AGUGAACGCUGGCGGCAGGCCUAACACAUGCAAGUCGAACGGCAGCACAGUAAGAGCUUGCUCUUACGGGUGGCGAGUGGCGGACGGGUGAGGAAUACAUCGGAGUCUACUUUUUCGUGGGGGAUAACGUAGGGAAACUUACGCUAAUACCGCAUACGACCUACGGGUGAAAGCAGGGGAUCUUCGGACCUUGCGCGAUUGAAUGAGCCGAUGUCGGAUUAGCUAGUUGGCGGGGUAAAGGCCCACCAAGGCGACGAUCCGUAGCUGGUCUGAGAGGAUGAUCAGCCACACUGGAACUGAGACACGGUCCAGACUCCUACGGGAGGCAGCAGUGGGGAAUCUUGGACAAUGGGCGAAAGCCUGAUCCAGCCAUACCGCGUGGGUGAUGAAGGCCUUCGGGUUGUAAAGCCCUUUUGUUGGGAAAGAAAAGCAGCAGGUUAAUACCCGGCUGUUCUGACGGUACCCAAAGAAUAAGCACCGGCUAACUUCGUG
This 492-nucleotide ribosomal RNA is filed under the name uncultured bacterium. RNAcentral describes it as "partial 16S ribosomal RNA". It matches the Rfam family "Bacterial small subunit ribosomal RNA", at positions 29 to 507 of the family's 1533-position model. The record is from RNAcentral.